Molecule: ribosomal RNA, 400 nt
Filed under: uncultured bacterium
Lineage: Bacteria
Description: bacterial SSU rRNA
Rfam family: Bacterial small subunit ribosomal RNA
Source: RNAcentral
UAUUGGGCAAUGGGCGCAAGCCUGACCCAGCAACGCCGCGUGAAGGAAGAAGGCUUUCGGUUUGUAAACUUCUUUUCUCAGGGACGAAGAAAGUGACGGUACCUGAGGAAUAAGCCACGGCUAACUACGUGCCAGCAGCCGCGGUAAUACGUAGGUGGCAAGCGUUAUCCGGAUUUAUUGGGUGUAAAGGGUGCGUAGACGGGACAGCAAGUUAGUUGUGAAAGCCCUCGGCUUAACUAAGGAACUGCAACUAAAACUAUUGUUCUUGAGUGCAGGAGAGGAAAGCGGAAUUCCUAGUGUAGCGGUGAAAUGCGUAGAUAUUAGGAGGAACACCAGUGGCGAAGGCGGCUUUCUGGACUGUAACUGACGUUGAGGCACGAAAGUGUGGGGAGCAAACAGG